Drosophila mojavensis is the source of this 1459-nucleotide long non-coding RNA. RefSeq lists it as uncharacterized. The record is from RefSeq and is a predicted model, not a curated record. The transcript has 2 exons. Lineage: Eukaryota; Metazoa; Arthropoda; Insecta; Diptera; Drosophilidae.
UUCAUUGAACACCAAGUUGUUAUAUUUUCACAAGAACCCAACACAGCGUCCCCAAUCACUAGUACUCUAGUGUGGGAGUGCUUAACUGGCGCUCGAGCAGGGACCCACAUUGUUCACGGAAAUGGUGACGUGUCAAUAAUUCUUUAAAAAUAACUUAUUAAACAAAAAUAAUGAUGAAAACGCUAACAUUUUGUAUGAGCGUGACAAACGUUUUACUGGUAUACUGUUCAACAAAAGGAAUGAGCUGAGAUCGUCACGAACAAUUUUCAAUUUUUGUGCGCUGCUGCUAUUUGAGAGAGCAUAAAGAGAAGGAGAGAGAAAGUAAGGUAAAAAAAGAGCGCAUAACCGUACUUCAUUUGGGAACGUGUGCAAAUAAUUGCUGAGAGUAGUCCGUGCCCGCAGUGUUUGGAAGUGGUAACGAUUAGAAUCGCCAGAUCUUCUGAAGACGGCUCGAGAUCAGUUGAGCUGCAAUAGUAGAGAUGAACGCACUUACACGUAAUUCACGAUGCUCCAGCGCUAGAAACAAAUCGGUGGGAAGUGCCGUUACAAACGCGUCGCCGAGUCAUCAGAUGAUGAAAUAGCGAAUUUGGAAAAUUCAUUCAAAUAUUACUGAAGACCCGACACAUACAUAUGUAUGUAUUAAUUAUAAAGAUUUAAACAAUGCCUAUUAUUGUCACUCUGAACAAAAAAGCUAUGUAUGUUAAUUGACAAAAGUAAAAAACACGAUAAGUUUACAUUUUAGUGAGCUCAAGAAGUCAAAUCUUACGGCCCUCAAUAAAAUGAGCGAGAAUAAAUGAAGCUUUAAAACGGAAUGAAAAAUAUGCCAAAACGUAAAGGCGUCGAAUUACUCAAGUUUUUGCAAGCAUUUUCUACUUCGUAUAUGCUCGGUGCGCUAUGAGAGCUGAAAUAUAUGUACAAGAUCACGUUUUGAUAUGCUAUACUCUCUAUCACUUACUCUUUCUGUUUCCCUAUGAUCUCUCCCUCUAUGAGCGCACAAGCGAUUGCGCAGGAAAAUUGAAAUCUGUUCGCGACAAACACUACAGUCUCCUGCUACAUGUAUGAUCAUUUUUGUGUCGGUAUGCAAUCCUAUCAGCUCAUGUAUUCACAGCCACACUCCCACUUCUUCAAUUUUUUUUUUGCUAGGCUGAAUAUUCUGCCUUGAGUCAUGUACGAGCGCACUCUUUCACUCAACCCGUUUUCGGCUAAGCUUCUAUGUCACUCAACAUACAGUGGGCCAAAAAAGUAUUGGCACACUUGAAAAAUCGAACUUCUAAGAGCUGUAACUUUUUUUUGAACACAUAAAUUAAAAACGGCAUUUAUUAAAUCCAUGUUUUCUAAUAAUAUUUAACAAAAAAAAAAUUAAAUUUCUUGUUUGGUUCACUUGCACAAGAAAUUUAAUUUUUUUUUUUGUUAAAUAUUAUUAGAAAACAUGGAUUUAAUAAAUGCCGUUUUUAAUUUA